GAUACGUUUUCCAGUUUUUAAACACUAAUAUUUGUGUUCAGCGAUGUCUCCCGAGCAAAACAGUACCCCCCAUGUACAGGUUUUAUAGCAUUUUUGAAAGUUACAAGGUCAAAUAUAUGGGUCAAAUAUUUUUACAUUGAAAAUGGCCAGGUUGGUUACGUUGCCUUUGAGAGCGUAUGGUAGCCCAGGAAUGAGAAUUACCCCCAAGAUGGCAUACCAUUUGCAAAAGAAGACAACCCAAGGUAUUGCAAAUGGG
Non-coding RNA from Pelobates cultripes (western spadefoot toad), 256 nucleotides. The record is from the annotation of a GenBank genome assembly. NCBI's taxonomy places the organism in Eukaryota, Metazoa, Chordata, Amphibia, Anura, Pelobatidae.